AUUGAACGCUGGCGGCAUGCUUUACACAUGCAAGUCGGACGGCAGCACAGAGAAGCUUGCUUCUUGGGUGGCGAGUGGCGAACGGGUGAGUAACAUAUCGGAACGUACCGAGCAGUGGGGGAUAACUAAUCGAAAGAUUAGCUAAUACCGCAUAUCUUCUGAGGAAGAAAGCAGGGGACCAUUUGGCCUUGCGCUGUUUGGGCGGCCGAUAUCUGAUUAGCUAGUGGGUGGGGUAAAGGCCUACCAAGGCGAUGAUCAGUAGCGGGUCUGAGAGGAGGAUCCGCCACACUGGGACUGAGACACGGCCCAGACUCCUACGGGAGGCAGCAGUGGGGAAUUUUGGACAAUGGGCGCAAGCCUGAUCCAGCCAUGCCGCGUGUCUGAAGAAGGCCUUCGGGUUGUAAAGGACUUUUGUCAGGGAAGAAAAGGGCGGGGUUAAUACCCCUGUCUGAUGACGGUACCUGAAGAAUAAGCACCGGCUAACUACGUG
Molecule: ribosomal RNA, 490 nt
Filed under: uncultured bacterium
Lineage: Bacteria
Description: partial 16S ribosomal RNA
Rfam family: Bacterial small subunit ribosomal RNA
Source: RNAcentral